This 253-nucleotide ribosomal RNA is filed under the name uncultured bacterium. RNAcentral's name for it is "partial 16S ribosomal RNA". It matches the Rfam family "Bacterial small subunit ribosomal RNA", at positions 524 to 776 of the family's 1533-position model. The record is from RNAcentral.
UACGUAGGGUGCGAGCGUUGUCCGGAAUUAUUGGGCGUAAAGAGCUUGUAGGCGGUUUGUCGCGUCGGGAGUGAAAACUCAGGGCUUAACCCUGAGCCUGCUUCCGAUACGGGCAGACUAGAGGUAUGCAGGGGAGAACGGAAUUCCUGGUGUAGCGGUGAAAUGCGCAGAUAUCAGGAGGAACACCGGUGGCGAAGGCGGUUCUCUGGGCAUUACCUGACGCUGAGGAGCGAAAGUGUGGGGAGCGAACAGG